UUAGCUUUUCCACCUAAAAUCACAACAAAAAGAACAAAAGAAUCAAUUACACAAAUCAAAAAUUAAAAUCUUUAAUCAAUUUUAACAGAUCUCUAAUUUAGGGUUCUUCACAUAAUAAAUCGAUUUCAGAAAAUCUUAAAGAAAAACAAUAAUUAAAUAACUUGAUGUGUAAAAGAAUGAAUAGAAUUUGAUGAAUGAAUGGAAGAUUGAAGGUUACCUUGCUUGGUCGACAUGGUUGCGAUGAAGAGUUAGGGUUUCGGUCUGAAUACAAAAACGACAAUGAAAAUAACAGCAAACGACAAUGAAAGACCUUACCCUCACUAAAUUAUUUUCUCGUGUAUUCGCUUCUAUUUAUAUAGCUAAACGACGAACCUCAACCACCGUUUUCUAUAAGCUACAUAUUUUAAGGAUUUUUUU
RNAcentral lists this long non-coding RNA (417 nucleotides) under Trifolium pratense (red clover). RNAcentral describes it as "long non-coding RNA (TPRA_LNC002261)". Lineage: Eukaryota; Viridiplantae; Streptophyta; Magnoliopsida; Fabales; Fabaceae. The record is from RNAcentral.